ACGGGAGGCAGCAGUGGGGAAUAUUGCACAAUGGGCGGAAGCCUGAUGCAGCGAUGCCGCGUGAGGGAAGAAGGUUUUCGGAUUGUAAACUUCUGUCUUCAGGGACGAUAAUGACGGUACCUGAGGAGGAAGCUCCGGCUAACUACGUGCCAGCAGCCGCGGUAAUACGUAGGGAGCGAGCGUUGUCCGGAAUUACUGGGUGUAAAGGGUGCGUAGGCGGGACGGCAAGUCAGAUGUGAAAUGUCUGGGCUUAACCCAUGACCUGCAUUUGAAACUGUUGUUCUUGAGUGAGGUAGAGGUAAGCGGAAUUCCUAGUGUAGCGGUGAAAUGCGUAGAUAUUAGGAGGAACAUCGGUGGCGAAGGCGGCUUACUGGACUGAAACUGACGCUGAGGCUCGAAAGCGUGGGGAGCAAACAGGAUUAGAUACCCUGGUA
This 434-nucleotide ribosomal RNA is filed under the name uncultured Ruminococcus sp. RNAcentral describes it as "bacterial SSU rRNA". It matches the Rfam family "Bacterial small subunit ribosomal RNA", at positions 341 to 792 of the family's 1533-position model. Lineage: Bacteria; Bacillati; Bacillota; Clostridia; Eubacteriales; Oscillospiraceae. The record is from RNAcentral.